CUGCUGCCUUCCGUAGGAGUCUGGUCCGUGUCUCAGUACCAGUGUGGGGGACCUUCCUCUCAGAACCCCUACGCAUCGUCGCCUUGGUGGGCCGUUACCCCGCCAACAAGCUAAUGCGACGCAUGACCAUCCGUAGCCGGAAUCGCUUCCUUUAAACCCACAGAGAUGCCUCCAUGGGUUGUUACGCGGUAUUAGACGGAAUUUCUUCCGCUUAUCCCCCUGCUACGGGCAGGUUUCAUACGUGUUACUCACCCGUGCGCCGGUCGCCGGG
RNAcentral lists this ribosomal RNA (271 nucleotides) under uncultured bacterium. Its description in RNAcentral is "partial 16S ribosomal RNA". The record is from RNAcentral.